UCCUACGGGGCGCAGCAGUGGGGAAUAUUGGACAAUGGGGGCAACCCUGAUCCAGCGACGCCGCGUGUGUGAAGAAGGCCUGCGGGUUGUAAAGCACUUUUAGUGGGGAUGAAAAGCUCAGGGCUAAUACCUCUGGGUCUUGACCUAACCCACAGAAAAAGCACCGGCUAACUCUGUGCCAGCAGCCGCGGUAAUACAGAGGGUGCGAGCGUUAAUCGGAAUUACUGGGCGUAAAGCGUGCGUAGACGGUUACGUAAGUCGGAUGUGAAAUCCCCGGGCUCAACCUGGGAAUUGCAUUCGAGACUGUGUAGCUGGGGUGCGGAAGAGGGAAGCGGAAUUUCCGGUGUAGCGGUGAAAUGCGUAGAUAUCGGAAGGAACAUCAGUGGCGAAAGCGGCUUCCUGGUCCAGCACCGACGUUCAGGCACGAAAGCGUGGGGAGCAAACAGGAUUAGAUACCCUGGUAGUCU
This 467-nucleotide ribosomal RNA is filed under the name uncultured bacterium. RNAcentral's name for it is "bacterial SSU rRNA". It matches the Rfam family "Bacterial small subunit ribosomal RNA", at positions 337 to 796 of the family's 1533-position model. The record is from RNAcentral.